RNAcentral lists this long non-coding RNA (820 nucleotides) under Mytilus galloprovincialis (Mediterranean mussel). The record is from RNAcentral. Lineage: Eukaryota; Metazoa; Mollusca; Bivalvia; Mytilida; Mytilidae.
AACUCAUCGGUGACCUAUCUUUUUUAUUGUUGUUUUCGAAUAAGCUGUACAUAAACUAAAGAAUUAUAAAAUUUUAGCGAUUUCUGUAAUUUCGUUCUUUUUUUAUUUCGAUAUUACCGCUAUUUCUCCUAUUAGAUUAACAGAAAAAAGGACAUUAACAAAAAUAUAAGUUUCUUUCGAAGGCAGAUUGUUAAGUAAAUGAACGGUGACCCCAUCUUUUUAUUUCAUUUAUCGCAAAAUCCUAUAGUAAAUAAAAAAAAAAUUGAUUUAGACCCGCGAGACCCCUGAAGAUAGUAGAUUAGUAAACAAACAUCAAAAAUAAAACAAAAUAAAGUACUUAACACAUUUAAAACAAUUGUCACAAUUAAAAACUUCUUUUCUAGCGAUGUUUUCGAUAGAAUUCUUUGUAUUGACCUUAUCUUAUCCGUAUCAGUAAGACCUAAUAUCUUAUAUUUCUUGCCGACACAACUUAGACUUUUUUUUCAGAAUACAAAUUUGUUGAAAUAAAUUUAAAAAAAGGUUUUCAACCGAGUUGUAAGGUCAUAUUUCUUUAUAAAUAAUUUGAAUGGACGUUUGCAAUAAAAUAUCGAUGAUUUUUUUUUUGUAAAUCGUGACGUUGUAAGCAAUACCUUCCAGUUCCUGUUUUGAACGUGCACUGUUGGCACAUAAUGCCAAAACAAUACAGUUUCAAUAUUUUUCAUACUCGCAAUGUUUAUUGUACAUACAAAACAGUAAAACGUUAACAAGUCUAAUUGGUUGUUGAAGCGGGUGCAGUGGCAAAUUCCAUUGCACUAUGCUGCUUAUCAUACAUGAAGUCAUC